RNAcentral lists this ribosomal RNA (253 nucleotides) under uncultured bacterium. RNAcentral's name for it is "partial 16S ribosomal RNA". It matches the Rfam family "Bacterial small subunit ribosomal RNA", at positions 524 to 776 of the family's 1533-position model. The record is from RNAcentral.
UACGUAGGUGGCAAGCGUUAUCCGGAUUUACUGGGUGUAAAGGGCGUGUAGGCGGGGAAGCAAGUCAGAUGUGAAAUUCCAGGGCUCAACCCUGGAACUGCAUUUGAAACUGUUUUUCUUGAGUGAUGGAGAGGCAGGCGGAAUUCCGUGUGUAGCGGUGAAAUGCGUAGAUAUACGGAGGAACACCAGUGGCGAAGGCGGAUUGCUGGACAGUAACUGACGCUGAGGCGCGAAAGCGUGGGGAGCAAACAGG